Molecule: ribosomal RNA, 253 nt
Filed under: uncultured bacterium
Lineage: Bacteria
Description: partial 16S ribosomal RNA
Rfam family: Bacterial small subunit ribosomal RNA
Source: RNAcentral
UACGAAGGUCCCGAGCGUUGUUCGGAAUCACUGGGCGUAAAGGGAGCGUAGGCGGCGCGGUAAGUCGGAUGUGAAAUCCCGGGGCUCAACCCCGGAACUGCAUCCGAUACUGCCGUGCUAGAGUAAUGGAGGGGUAGCUGGAAUUCUCGGUGUAGCAGUGAAAUGCGUAGAUAUCGAGAGGAACACUCGUGGCGAAAGCGAGCUACUGGACAUUUACUGACGCUGAGGCUCGAAGGCUAGGGGAGCGAAAGGG